Peromyscus maniculatus bairdii (prairie deer mouse) is the source of this 575-nucleotide non-coding RNA. The record is from RefSeq and is a predicted model, not a curated record. NCBI's taxonomy places the organism in Eukaryota, Metazoa, Chordata, Mammalia, Rodentia, Cricetidae.
GACCAAAUCUAGACUCACCUAAGAACACCUAGAACCAUCCUUUGGACACAUCUGUGAGGGAUUCUCUACAAGGUCAGCCUCUCAGUGUCAGUGAGGGACUCCCUCGGUUAUGUUAACUGAUGUGGGGCAGGAUCACUCCUGGGCAGAUGUGGACUGUAGAAAUGGAGAGAGGCAAGCAGCAGCAUUCCCCCUCUGGAACCCCAACUGUGGACACUGAGCAGCAGCUUCCUGCUCCUGCUGCCUUGAGUUACCAGUCACAGCGCACUGCACUUUUCACUUGUGAACCAGACCUGUUUCCUGGCUGCUAGGACAAGAAAGCACUGAAUGUUCAAGGUUUUACCCUCCAAACCCAAGUCUACCACAACACCCAGUUUUAGCUUCUGCCAUACCAACCACAGCAAAAGAGAGGAAAGACAAGCAUUCUAAGAUAAAUGCAAGAAGGGAUGAUACAAUGACAGCAGCAGGGGACUGGAGCCUGUCAACCUGUGAUGAUACAGCAAACUGCCCAACAUGUGCAACGUUCUGGAUUCUACUGCGACAUCAAAAAAAAUUAAAUUAACAAACAAUAAAAAGGA